AUCAUCCUCUCUUCUUUACAAUCACCCUAUCCAGGCUUUCUACCUCUUCACACGUGUUCUGGAGGACUCAAAUAGGAGGAUCAAAAGCAGAAUGUCAGAUGGUUUAUUAUCGUUUCCACUCGAUGAUAUAUUUGCCAAUUUUAGGAUCCCCUGACCACUUGUUCCAGCCAAUACCAGAUCGCGUUUCUGCUGGAAUGUUGGUGCCACAUCAACCACAAACUAUGUUGUUCAUGUGGUGUGAUCUCCAAUAAAAAUUUUUCAUUAAGUGCUAUCGCUUCAGAGCACUUGUUGGGGUUCUUAAAAAAAAAAGAAAAUAAAAAAAAAAUGGGGAUGAAAAUAUGUGGAAAUCUCUAGGCCUUUUUAAUUAUAUGGGAUAUAAUUAUUAUAUUUUUGACUUCACGGAUAUUGCAGAAUUUGAAUAUUUGACAAAUCGGAAAAGGAUGCUGUAUGAAAUCAUCUUAGAAUAAUUAAAAGAAAUUAAAUUAUAUGUGCAAAUUGGGAAUUAUUCAGCCUUCGGGUGUAGAUACAGGUGACAAGCGAGGUUAUGGAUUGUUUUGAAACAGGUAGAGUUUUGUUAGAAACGGAAUCAUUUAAUAACUUAACAGGUGGUACAUCAGGUGAAAACUAUAGACGAUUGCUCUUCGCUGAAGCUUCAUUGUUUUGCUUUUGUCGAUCUUCACACUUUCAGUUGUCAUCGGAUGAAAAGCGAAGGACGUUUAGUGAUAACUACCGGAACUAACAGGUGUUAUACGUAAGGCACAGUAGCCCGGUGUCAAGGUUGGGACCCCGAUACAACCUUGUUUCAGACAGCUCGUCCCGGGGCGCAUCCCAACCUGCCUUUACUCUAGAGUAAAAAUGGUAGAAGACUAACGAUUGUUUCGCGCCUUAUUAACGAGAAAGGAAAUCGUUUAAAUUGAAAAUAACUUCCUCAAAAAUAGAAUAAAAAUGGCUUAAAUCCAAAUAUUGCAUCGUGCUUACUCCUCGGCAUUAAUCGAAAGUUUAGUAACGCUUUUAAUUUUAGACGUCAUCGUGACAAGAACACGAUUGAGGAAAGCGUUGUUCUGUAUCAAGAGGACCUAAUUGCCAAACGUGACUGCGAUACUUUCAUCAUCAUUUUCUUCCAGCCAUUAAUAUCGUUAAGGUGUUCACCCAAUUUGAUCUUUGACAUUACGGGGGGCCUCUA
Long non-coding RNA from Centruroides sculpturatus (bark scorpion), 1183 nucleotides. RefSeq lists it as uncharacterized. The transcript has 3 exons. The record is from RefSeq and is a predicted model, not a curated record. Lineage: Eukaryota; Metazoa; Arthropoda; Arachnida; Scorpiones; Buthidae.